Molecule: ribosomal RNA, 253 nt
Filed under: uncultured bacterium
Lineage: Bacteria
Description: partial 16S ribosomal RNA
Rfam family: Bacterial small subunit ribosomal RNA
Source: RNAcentral
UACAGAGGUCCCGAGCGUUGUUCGGAUUCAUUGGGCGUAAAGGGUGCGUAGGCGGCGCGGUAAGUCGGGUGUGAAAUCUCGGGGCUUAACUCCGAAACUGCAUUCGAUACUGCCGUGAUUGAGGACUGGAGAGGAGACUGGAAUUUACGGUGUAGCGGUGAAAUGCGUAGAUAUCGUAAGGAAGACCAGUGGCGAAGGCAGCACUCUGGGACGUGACUGACGCUGAGACGCGAAAGCGUGGGGAGCAAACAGG